AGGGAAUCUUCCACAAUGGACGAAAGUCUGAUGGAGCAACGCCGCGUGAGCGAAGAAGGUCUUCGGAUCGUAAAGCUCUGUUGUAAGGGAAGAAUAAGUGCAGUAGUAACUGGCUGCACCUUGACGGUACCUUACGAGAAAGCCACGGCUAACUACGUGCCAGCAGCCGCGGUAAUACGUAGGUGGCGAGCGUUGUCCGGAAUUAUUGGGCGUAAAGCGCGCGCAGGCGGCCUUUUAAGUCUGAUGUGAAAGCCCCCGGCUUAACCGGGGAGGGUCAUUGGAAACUGGGAGGCUUGAGUGCAGAAGAGGAAAGUGGAAUUCCAAGUGUAGCGGUGAGAUGCGUAGAGAUUUGGAGGAACACCAGUGGCGAAGGCGACUUUCUGGUCUGUUACUGACGCUGAGGCGCGAAAGCGUGGGGAGCAAAC
Molecule: ribosomal RNA, 425 nt
Filed under: uncultured bacterium
Lineage: Bacteria
Description: bacterial SSU rRNA
Rfam family: Bacterial small subunit ribosomal RNA
Source: RNAcentral